AAGUCGAACGGAAAGGCCUCUUUGGAGGUACUCGAGUGGCGAACGGGUGAKUAACACGUGGGUAAUCUGCCCUGCACUUCGGGAUAAGCCUGGGAAACUGGGUCUAAUACCGGAUAGGACCCCGAGGCGCAUGCCUUGGGGUGGAAAGCUUUUGCGGUGUGGGAUGGGCCCGCGGCCUAUCAGCUUGUUGGUGGGGUGAUGGCCUACCAAGGCGACGACGGGUAGCCGGCCUGAGAGGGUGUCCGGCCACACUGGGACUGAGAUACGGCCCAGACUCCUACGGGAGGCAGCAGUGGGGAAUAUUGCACAAUGGGCGCAAGCCUGAUGCAGCGACGCCGCGUGGGGGAUGAAGGCCUUCGGGUUGUAAACCUCUUUCAGCAGGGACGAAGCGCAAGUGACGGUACCUGCAGAAGAAGCACCCGGCCAACUACGUGCCAGCAGCCGCGGUAAUACGUAGGGUGCGAGCGUUGUCCGGAAUUACUGGGCGUAAAGAGCUCGUAGGUGGUUUGUCGCGUUGUUCGUGAAAACCGGGGGCUUAACCCUCGGCGUGCGGGCGAUACGGGCAGACUAGAGUACUGCAGGGGAGACUGGAAUUCCUGGUGUAGCGGUGGAAUGCGCAGAUAUCAGGAGGAACACCGGUGGCGAAGGCGGGUCUCUGGGCAGUAACUGACGCUGAGGAGCGAAAGCGUGGGGAGCGAACAGGAUUAGAUACCCUGGUAGUCCACGCCGUAAACGGUGGGUACUAGGUGUGGGUUUCCUUCCUUGGGAUCCGUGCCGUAGCUAACGCAUUAAGUACCCCGCCUGGGGAGUACGGCCGCAAGGCUAAAACUCAAAGGAAUUGACGGGGGCCCGCACAAGCGGCGGAGCAUGUGGAUUAAUUCGAUGCAACGCGAAGAACCUUACCUGGGUUUGACAUGCACAGGACGCCGGCAGAGAUGUCGGUUCCCUUGUGGCCUGUGUGCAGGUGGUGCAUGGCUGUCGUCAGCUCGUGUCGUGAGAUGUUGGGUUAAGUCCCGCAACGAGCGCAACCCUUGUCUCAUGUUGCCAGCGGGUAAUGCCGGGGACUCGUGAGAGACUGCCGGGGUCAACUCGGAGGAAGGUGGGGAUGACGUCAAGUCAUCAUGCCCCUUAUGUCCAGGGCUUCACACAUGCUACAAUGGCCGGUACAAAGGGCUGCGAUGCCGCGAGGUGGAGCGAAUCCUUUAAAGCCGGUCUCAGUUCGGAUCGGGGUCUGCAACUCGACCCCGUGAAGUCGGAGUCGCUAGUAAUCGCAGAUCAGCAACGCUGCGGUGAAUACGUUCCCGGGCCUUGUACACACCGCCCGUCACGUCAUGAAAGUCGGUAACACCCGAAGCCAG
This 1358-nucleotide ribosomal RNA is filed under the name Mycobacterium heidelbergense. Its description in RNAcentral is "bacterial SSU rRNA". It matches the Rfam family "Bacterial small subunit ribosomal RNA", at positions 59 to 1430 of the family's 1533-position model. The record is from RNAcentral. Lineage: Bacteria; Bacillati; Actinomycetota; Actinomycetes; Mycobacteriales; Mycobacteriaceae.